AACGAACGCUGGUGGCGUGCUUAACACAUGCAAGUCGAACGAGAAAGUUUCCUUCGGGGAAUCAGUAAAGUGGCGCAAGGGUGAGUAACACGUGAAUAAUCUGCCCUCGAGAUCGGGAUAACAUGGUGAAAACUAUGCUAAUACCGGAUAAGACCACGUUUCUUAUGAAAUGUGGUAAAAGGAGUCUCAACCUUCACUCGAGGAUGAGUUCGCGCAACAUUAGCUUGUUGGUGAGAUAAAAGCUCACCAAGGCUACGAUGUUUAGCCGGCCUGAGAGGGUGAACGGCCACACUGGAACUGAGACACGGUCCAGACUCCUACGGGAGGCAGCAGUGGGGAAUAUUGCGCAAUGGGCGAAAGCCUGACGCAGCAACGCCGUGUGAGCGAUG
Molecule: ribosomal RNA, 389 nt
Filed under: uncultured Nitrospina sp.
Lineage: Bacteria; Pseudomonadati; Nitrospinota; Nitrospinia; Nitrospinales; Nitrospinaceae
Description: bacterial SSU rRNA
Rfam family: Bacterial small subunit ribosomal RNA
Source: RNAcentral